GAGGGCUUGUUGGGCUGAAACCAAA
This 25-nucleotide non-coding RNA is filed under the name Cricetulus griseus (Chinese hamster). The record is from RNAcentral. Lineage: Eukaryota; Metazoa; Chordata; Mammalia; Rodentia; Cricetidae.